GCUCACCACAAAUUCAUGGUAAGGCCCCAUUGCUAGAGAAAACACCUACAUAACUCAUUGAAUAUGGAGAACUUGAGCUGGUUUCUACUUAGAGCCUUUACCCCUACUGACUAGUGUUCGUAGUACGGAGGGAUACUCUGUAGGCUACCAAAGGAAAAAGGUAAACAUCAACCCAGCUAAAAACUCUUCGAUCUACAAUGGUGACCUGCCUGCAAGACAUGCUAGUGCCAUAGGGUCACAAAGCUGAUGGGACUAAUCAACCAAUAUUGGAUUGAGAUACAGUGCAUGAGAUACAGCCCAUCCCUAGCACUGCUCAGGUGGCCAAGAACUUAAGACUAGAUGGACCAAGGACUAGGAGAAAACUAAACACUACCUUUCUGCUAAAGGAAGAUAGAAAUAAAAUGACUCCUAAAGGCAUUCUGCUACAUCCAUAGAUCAGCAUCUCACUCAGCCACUACAGAAGAAGCUUCCUCCUACAUCGGAUGGGAGCUAAUACAGAGACCGGCGUCUGGACAAUGCAGAGAGUGAGACACAGCAGAACACUCAGUUCUAAAUGAGUUGUCUCCACCAAGUCCCUCCCCUCAAGGCCCAGGGAGCCCAACUGAAGAAGAGUGUAAGAGCCCAGAGUGGAUGGAGGACACCAAGGAAUCCAGCCUUUCCAAACACAGCAGGACCGAUCGCACAUGAACUCAGAGACUGUGGCAGCAUGCACAGAGCCUUCAGGGGUUCAGGCCUGAUGAUCCUAAUGCUGAGAAGCUGAGAAGCCCCUGGCCCAGAAACUAUCUCCAACUGAUGACCACUUACAAAUGAAAUAUUAGUUUUCUCCAAGGGAGUCUCACUGAUUGUACAAACCACAAAUAAAAGGCAGACCCCAUGCCCAGCAGUGAAUGGACAACAUAAAACACACUCAAUGGC
RNAcentral lists this long non-coding RNA (915 nucleotides) under Mus musculus (house mouse). RNAcentral's name for it is "long non-coding RNA chr2:93148593-93149508". The record is from RNAcentral. Lineage: Eukaryota; Metazoa; Chordata; Mammalia; Rodentia; Muridae.